UUAAAGCAAGGGCUUGAAGAUUAUAAUUUUUCUUCUGUGUGGAAGUUAGGGAGUUGACAUUCUGAGAACAAGAUAAAAUGCAGUUCAAUCUUAAGUCAGAAGAAGAAGAAGAGGGAGGAGGGAGGUGUUCCCAAUGGCAUAAAUCCAACUGAAAGAAGCAAAAGGACAGAAGGCACAGAACACUGUUCUCUAUCAACAUACACUUGAUCACUGUCACUACUGCUGACUUGACAGUGACCUUGGGCAAGUCCCUUUGCUCAUGUAUGUUUUGUUUUGUUUUUCAUUCUUUUCAGUGCUAGCUCAGUCCUUUGAGCAGUCUA
Molecule: long non-coding RNA, 320 nt
Filed under: Anser brachyrhynchus (Pink-footed goose)
Lineage: Eukaryota; Metazoa; Chordata; Aves; Anseriformes; Anatidae
Description: lncRNA (ENSABRG00000010891.1)
Source: RNAcentral